CCCGUUAUCUCCUUCCUCCCGACGAAGUCAUGAAGCACGAUUGGAUCAAGAGAAGAUGCGAAACCAAUCUCCCCUGCCGCCACCUCCUCUCGAGUCCUGAUAAGCGAUGGGUUCUAAUCCUUCUACCACCCCAUUUCCAAAGACUCCGAUUGAUCUCCGUUUCUUCCGCUCCAGGAGUAGUUGUGGCCUCUGCGUUCCUAUGGCCUCUCUCAUCGUAGGUUAUGUGUGCCUCCAAUUUCGUUGUAGCAAUGGCAGAUCUUAUUUAUGCUCGGAGCCUAGCGAAGAAUUGCAUCCACGAUA
This 300-nucleotide long non-coding RNA is filed under the name Hordeum vulgare. RNAcentral describes it as "long non-coding RNA (HVUL_LNC014675)". Lineage: Eukaryota; Viridiplantae; Streptophyta; Magnoliopsida; Poales; Poaceae. The record is from RNAcentral.